This 497-nucleotide ribosomal RNA is filed under the name uncultured bacterium. RNAcentral's name for it is "partial 16S ribosomal RNA". It matches the Rfam family "Bacterial small subunit ribosomal RNA", at positions 28 to 507 of the family's 1533-position model. The record is from RNAcentral.
GAUGAACGCUGGCGGCAUGCCUAACACAUGCAAGUCGAGCGAACACACGAGGAGCUUUCUCCUCUGACUUUAGCGGCGGACGGGUGAGUCCCAUGUGGUUAACCUACCUAUAAGACUGGGGUAACUUCACGAAACCGGAGCUAAUACCCGAUAAUAUAUUGAACCGCAUGGUUCAAGAGUUAAAGAAGGUUUUGCUUUGACUAAUAGAUGAAUCCGCGCCGAAUUAGCUAGUUGGUGAGGUAACGGCUUACCAACGCGACGACGCGUAAACGACCUGAGAGGGUGAUCAGACACAUUGGAACUGAGACAGGGUACAGACUCCGACGGGAGGAAGCAGUAGGGAAUCUUCCGCAAUGGGCGAAAGCCUGACGGAGCAACGCCGCGGGAGUGAUGAAGGUCUUCGGAUCGGAAAGCUCUGUAAGUAGGGAGGAAGGAAAGUGUAUGUAACCAUGCAGGUCUUGACGGUACCGGAAGAAUAAGCCCCGGCUAACUCCGUG